AAAAAAACGUAGAGGAUAUACUGAUCGACCUGGUCCAUUUCACGCGAUAGGCAAAGGUCGAUUUCAUACAGAUCGACCGAUCUCGAAUUAUAGACCGAUCGAUCCGUGGAAGCAUAGAUAUGAAUCAUGGUAGAAAUAAUGUGAAAAUUUUGUAAAAAAUUUGUGAACAAUCAAUGGAAUAUAGAAGACGGUAUGAGAAGAAGGUUACCACUUUUUUUUGUUUUUUUGUUUUUUUAAUGGAUUUUUUCAAAAUAUGAAAGUGAAUAUUCCCAAAUAUUUUAUUUCCAUAUUUUUAAGAAUUGAUUUCUUAUCCGUAUAAUACAUCUAUGUGUUAUUGGUUUAUAUAUUUUGAUUGAUUUAUAAAUCUAAAUAGUAUUUAUAAAUCCAAGUAAAAUAUGCAAAUCUGGAGGUUUUCCCUCAGAUUUGAGUCUUUGUAUUUUUAACUAAAAAAUCCAAACAAAUUCAUUCAAAUUCAUUAUAAAAUCAAAUGUAUUAGUAAAUCCGUACGAUUGAAUAACACUUGAUUUGAUAUAGAAUUUAUGAAUUAUUAAAC
RNAcentral lists this long non-coding RNA (553 nucleotides) under Brassica rapa (field mustard). Its description in RNAcentral is "long non-coding RNA (BRAP_LNC006966)". The record is from RNAcentral. Lineage: Eukaryota; Viridiplantae; Streptophyta; Magnoliopsida; Brassicales; Brassicaceae.